UACGAAGGGGCUAGCGUUGCUCGGAAUCACUGGGCGUAAAGCGCACGUAGGCGGACUCUUAAGUCAGGGGUGAAAUCCUGGAGCUCAACUCCAGAACUGCCUUUGAUACUGGGAGUCUUGAGUCCGGAAGAGGUAAGUGGAACUGCGAGUGUAGAGGUGAAAUUCGUAGAUAUUCGCAAGAACACCAGUGGCGAAGGCGGCUUACUGGUCCGGAACUGACGCUGAGGUGCGAAAGCGUGGGGAGCAAACAGG
This 252-nucleotide ribosomal RNA is filed under the name uncultured bacterium. Its description in RNAcentral is "partial 16S ribosomal RNA". It matches the Rfam family "Bacterial small subunit ribosomal RNA", at positions 524 to 776 of the family's 1533-position model. The record is from RNAcentral.